RNAcentral lists this ribosomal RNA (440 nucleotides) under uncultured bacterium. RNAcentral describes it as "partial 16S ribosomal RNA". It matches the Rfam family "Bacterial small subunit ribosomal RNA", at positions 338 to 795 of the family's 1533-position model. The record is from RNAcentral.
CCUACGGGUUGCAGCAGUGGGGAAUAUUGCACAAUGGGGGAAACCCUGAUGCCGCGACGCCGCGUGAGUGAAGCAGUAAUUCGUUAUGUAAAGCUCUAUCAGCAGGGACGAAACUUACGGUACCUGCGUACUCCGCCCCGGCUAACUACGUGCCAGCAGCCGCGGUCAUACGUAGGGGGCAAGCGUUAUCCGGAUUUACUGGGUGUAAAGGGAGCGUAGACGGCAGUGCAAGUCUGGAGUGAAAGGCGGGGGCUCAACCCCCGGACUGCUCUGGAAACUGUACGGCUGGAGUGCAGGAGAGGUAAGUGGAAUGCCUAGUGUAGCGGUGAAAUGCGUAGAUAUUAGGAGGAACACCAGUGGCGAAGGCGGCUUACUGGACUGUAACUGACGUUGAGGCUCGAAAGCGUGGGGAGCAAACAGGAUUAGAUACCCGGGUAGUC